This 5401-nucleotide long non-coding RNA is filed under the name Marmota monax (woodchuck). The stretch from base 1458 to 1551 matches the Rfam family "mir-802 microRNA precursor family". The record is from RNAcentral. Lineage: Eukaryota; Metazoa; Chordata; Mammalia; Rodentia; Sciuridae.
AUGUGAGCAAAGGUCACAACUUUUUAAUAGUAAAUGUGAAACCUUUUCUAAGUUUCUUUUUCCAUAUCCUAUCAUGGAAAUAUUAAGAUAUGGAAGACAAAGUUUAACCAGAGUUGAAAAAGCAAGAUAAUUCCAGGGGAAAGGUCCAGACCUCCAGUCACAGAGCCCUGCUGGAAGAAGAGGAAGUCUCCGAGGAACCAGAGGACUCUAGCCCAAGGGAGCCCCCCGGGAAGGAUACAGCCACACAGGUUUGUGAACCUUUGUUGAAAGGUGUAUAAUAACUAAAAGUGUUGAUGCCUUUUUGGUCAAAAAACAAUUUUUUUUUUUCAGAAAAUAAAAGAGAGCCUGUGAGAGACUAGCUCACCCACGCGAUUUUCAUGAAGAAUGGUUAUUUUUCUAAAUUACAAGGUGCAGAGUGGAGAAUUGAGGACAGCCAUUCCUCCUGGGUGACAGCACAGAAUUCGAAGUCAAGCCUACCACCACUGACUUCUUUGAUUUUAAUGAAUGUAUUUAUGUUCUGCUUUCCUCCACCCCCAGAGACAAUUUGAGGUGAUGCCUGAUUGCAAGUCACAGAAGGCAAGAAAUAAAAGGUUUCUUACCUUCACAAAUUUGCACAUGCUUUCCAACGGACUCCCCCUGGGUCUGCAGAGCAACCACAAGGGCCCAGAUGCUCUGGGUGUUUUAUUCCUUUUUGAGCCUUGAUAAUUGUUUGAAAGCUUCAUGUCAAGUCGCAGACUGAUGUGAUAAAAUAACUUUCCCAUUUGGAGAAUAAAAGUAUUCUUAGUAGCUUUUUUCAGCUCUGAUUAAAAGAUAGAUGUAAAAUAUGCAAAGAAUGAUGUCUAAAGACUGAGGAUAAAAGUUAAAUGAAAAGCAGUAGUUUAAAGAGUUUCAGGGCUCAGGGUCCAAUCUUCCAGCUCUAGUUUUUCUAUGGAAAUGUGAACAGCAUAUGCUUCGAUUGGGCCCCUUUUCAGCCAUUUACAUAUUGGGGAAAUGUAUAUUUGGCAACAGAUCCUAUUUUUAGGCGUCCUUGAAACUUGCCCUUUGAAAAUGUUUUCACUUCUGGCACAUAUGUGUGUUUUAAGCAGAAUGAAAACAAAGCAAAAAAAGAAAACUAUGUACAGAAAGGAAUGAUUUUUCCAGCUCUGGGUAGCACAAUAAGAAAGCAAUCAUUCAUUUGUGAGUUUAAAAAUGGAUUCUUGCCUGAAUUUUCCAACUAUUUCCUUCUAAAUGACCAUUUCUCUACAGAACUGAACUAAUGUAAAGAGACAGGUUGUUCCAGUGCCAGAACCAAGCCAGCAAAAAAGGACGGCGGCUGUAUUUUCCUGGGAGGAACUGAACAAAAUAAUACCUACUCUGUCUCCUCGCAGCCCCGGGGGUCCAUUCAGAAGAAGGUGCCUCCAGACCUGAUGCGUGGCUCCGAGCACACCUUCCCAGCCUGCCUCUUGAGCACCAUUAGAUCUCUGUUAGUUGCAGUCAGUAACAGAGAUUCAUCCUUGUGUCGAUCAUGCAGCAAGGGGAAUCUCUGUCACUUCCUGUAAUUAAUGGCCACACCUUGAAGGGAAAUAUGGGAAAAGGGUGCUCUUCAUACACAGUGUGGGUGUUUUCAGAACAGGCUUCACCCUUGCCACUUUUUGACCAGCUAAAAUGCCAGAACUCCAGCAGAGGAGGAAAGAGGGGAAACAAAAUGUUUCCUUGGGGCUGUCUCAAGCGCUCAGACUGUGGUUCAUGAGACUUUUCCUAUCAAAUAGAUGACCUGGAAGACCCCUCUCUGCUUCAAUGUCCUUACCAGUGCCCUUCUCAUAGCUCCACCAUGUCAUCUUCAUGAACCUCUAGAUAGAUUCCAUUAUUGAACAGAAAAUAAGAAAGAGAAGCCUCGUGCUGGUGGAGGGCCUCCCUCUAAUUGCUCAGUGACCCAUCACAGAAUGUACCAUGGUUCUGGUUUUCAAGAUGAAAAAACUGAACAGAGGUUUGGAGAGGCCAGCACUUGCUCUGAAGCACAGAUGGACAGUGUCAGAUGGGGACCACGUCCAGGACCCAUGCCUCCUCUGAGGUAAAAGUAGGGAUCCCUUUUUGAAUUCUCACCUUUUCUCACCUUUGUAACCUCACUUUUAUUCCUCCUUCUCCAUAAAAAUGGCUGGACUUAUGCCAUGUGUCCCUGAAUCUUUACCUUCCUGUCCCCAACAAAGGAGAAAAAUCCAAUCUUAUCUCUGAGAGAUUCAGAGAGCCCUUGGGUACAAAUGGCUCCUCACUGUCUCACUUUCAAUCAGUGUGCCUCAAAGUUCUUCCUAGACUUCGUUUGUGACUUCAUUUAGCCUGUCUAUAAAGAUUCUAAGAUCAGUGGGGUUAUUUUUCCCUUCCAUUCCUGCCCAAGGACAAAGAAAAUGCUGAGGUUCAGAAAGUGUACCCCAAAGCACAGUUGCUGAGCUCGCUGGGUACCUUGCACAGAAGGACUUCCCCCUGCCCUUCUCCUGCCUGUCCUUCCCCUGCCACAGCCCUUUCUCCCUCAGGCAGGCCACAGAAACAUUCCUCUUCCUAAGGUGGGUCAUAGGCUCUAGAACCCCUUUCCCCCGAAGCCAGUUGUAAGACCUAGAAAUCCUGCUGACUUCCCCCUUCUGUCUGGAGCUGGGGAAAGGAGUCUCUGACCUAGAUUGUCUGAGAGCAGAUCAUAACACCCUCGUCCAGAGGGGUCCUGCCUGUAUGCAGGAGGAAGGAAUGUCUCCAGGGGAGCUGAGAAGAAUCUGAACAGGCAGGCCUUGCUGGGUCUCCCCACUUGGGACAUCACCACGCCCUUCCAUCCAGUCACAUUUCAACAUAGCUGCCCAGGCUCCAUUGAACCGAAGCACAAAUAUUGUUUUUCCUGAAUCUUUGGGUCUUCAUUUCUGAAGACUCCCAUGUCACAUAAGACUUCCUUUAAAUAAAUAUGCUAUGCUUUUCUCUUGUUCACCAGUCUUCAGUCAUAGGCAUGACCCCAUGACAAGCACCUCCCCACCCCAUGCAAACACGUGGGUGCUGCUCUUGGGUGCCGGCUCCACAGCCCCACUCAUCUUCCAUCACAUCUUCAAAGACCUCCCUUCCAUAUUCUGUCCUUGGCUUGGCCCUCAAAUAUUUGAGCUCUUUCUCACCAGCUUCCCCUCACCGCCCUCCCCGUGGGUGUCCUGACUGGGAGUGUCCAACCUCACUGCUGGGCAGCUGGGUCUGCUAAUUCCCCCAUGGACACUGAUGCACCCUGACUCCUGCCACUCUUCAGGAGCCACGACCCCCUCUUUCCUUCCUUGGAACAUGGAUGUUCUCCAACCACAGCUGUUUCAAAACCUCAGCUCCCUCUCCUUUCUCCCACCUCCUCAAGGAUGGUUCUUCAGUCACUUCCCAGCGACAGCUUCUGCCCUACCCAGUCUAACAAACUGAGCAGUGCUGCUCGAUGUUCAUAGUGCACUGUGCCCAAUCUGGGGGUCUCUCCCCACCCAACCUGCUGCUUCAUGUUGGGCUGCCAUGAUGUUGAUUUGGGGGGGCCCAGCUCCUCUAUGACUUUAUGCUGAUCCAGAGUAUUUGGCUAUGUGCAGCUUCUCCUCAUUUCUGUCAUGCCCCAGCUCCUGAGCUGAGCUGUUAGUGCUGUGGCCCUGGAUGCAUAAUAAAUUAUUACACUACAAUGAAAAUAUGCCACGAAUAAUUGAUAAAUUACUAUACUACAAAUGAGCACUUAAUUUCUGUAGAUAUGUAUAAGUCAUAAUCACUCCUUCAAAGCCAUGAAAAUGCCUUCCCUACAAAACGUGUCAUUAUUCAACUGCAAACGCUGCAUUUACCCAAAGUUCAGCCCAGCAUGGCAAGCUUUGCCAGCUCAAUUUAAUUCCUACAUCUACCACAGCAUGUUGGCUUGACGUAUUCCCAAGUAUUUAAGUGAGUGAAUUUUCCCUUCCUCCCACCCAAACCCCUCUCUCUUACAUUAUACCACUGAUUUAGCCUUAAGAAAAAAAUUAAAGCAUAUUCCUAAGCCUCAAAUGGAAAAUGUCCUCAUGUCUUCCGUUGAUGGAAUCUACUAGAGCUGUGUCAGCGUCCAGAUGCACAUUGAUUUAGAGAGCAAACUAGGAGUGCUGAGAACUGGAGCACUGCUUGCCGUGUCUAGCCCAGACCUCUCCACAAGCUCCAGGCUUAGUCACCGGCCAGAUGUCUACCAGGACAUCUCGAGGCACUCAAAAUGUCAGUUCUUGAGUCCAACUUUUUUGCUUCUUCUCUUCAGGUGAAACCAGGAAGUCUUGGCAGUUAGUUUGGAUUUCUCCCAUGCUAUUAUCCCUCCAUGCCAUCCACUUCAUAUCCAAAUCUGUUGAAUGGAUUACCUAAAAUCACCUAAGCCUGUCCUCUGCUGCCUGUGCCCUUCUCUCUAGAGUCUCCAUCAUGUCCUUCUUCAAUGCUGAACUAGAAGUGGCAUCACAGGACAUUACCUGCCUUUUACCCAUACCUUGGGCUUGCAUAAAACCCUUCACUACCUCUCUGUUGCCUUCACCAUAAACUUGUGAAGAGGCCUGAGAGGGACAGAUGGAUUUGGAGGCAGCCAGAGCCUCAAUUCACAGUGAUCCUUUUUUGUUUGUUUGUUUGUUUGUUAAUAUCAACAUGUACACAAAAGACUGGUGCAGUUUUCUGGUAGAUUCUAUAAAUGGAAGUAUUCAGAUAACAGCAGGGGCUGAUUCAUGCUUCUUAGAGUGACUUGCAAGAUUUUCCAAGGUCUGGCUGCACUCAAACCCACCAGUCUUUGCCCCUGGCUCUUUGCCAACAUCCUCACAGCCCCACACAAACCCUUGCCCCUUAUUCAUCAGAGGAAAGUCCAUUACAAGCUUGCUGGGAUGUUAAAGCAGAGGGGAUGGCUUUCAGACUCCGCUGCCUCCUGCCGAACCCUGUCCUAGCUCAGGCUGCCAUAACUAAACACCAGAGACUGAGCAGCCAGAACAACAGACGGUGAUUUUCCCAGAGCUGUGGAGGCUAGAAGUCCAAGAUCAGGUCAAGUAGGAUCUGCUUCCUGGUGAGGGCUCUUGGCCUGGCUUGUGGAAGGUCACCCUGUGGCUGUGUGCUUGCUUGGCCUUUCCUUUGUGCAUGCCCGGGGACAGAAUCUCCCUCUCUUCCUCUUGCUAAGAGGCCACUAGGCCACCAAUUCUAUCUGAUUAGGACACCAUCCUUAUAACCUCAUUAAACCUCAUUACUUCCUAAAAGCCUCGUCUGAAAUCAGUCACAUGGGGGGGUGAGGUUUUCCACAUAUGAAUGUUGGAGAAGCACAGUUUAGUCCAUAGCCACCCACACCCCAAAACUCUCUCAUAACAAAAUCCACUAUCUGCACACGGCAGAAUAACUCUCACUGACUUGAAUGCUCUACAAAUCAGCUUGCUUUUAGGAAGAAUGACUUGGUACAACAUAG